AGAGUUUGAUCAUGGCUCAGGACGAACGCUGACGGUGUGCUUUAGGCAUGCAAGUCGAACGAGAAAGCCCUUCGGGGUGAGUAGAGUGGCGAACGGGUGAGUAACACGUGGGCAACCUGCCCCUCGCAGGGGGAUAACCGGAGGAAACUCCGGCUAAUACCCCGUAAGCUUUCAGGGUCGCAUGGCCCUGUAAGGAAAGGUAGCUUCGGCCAUCCGGCGAGGGAUGGGCCCGCGGUGCAUUAGCUAGUUGGUGGGGUAAUGGCCCACCAAGGCGACGAUGCGUAGCUGGUCUGAGAGGAUGAUCAGCCACACUGGGACUGAGACACGGCCCAGACUCCUACGGGAGGCAGCAGCCAGGAAUCUUGGGCAAUGGGCGAAAGCCUGACCCAGCAACACCGUGUGGGCGAUGAAGGCCUUCGGGUCGUAAAGCCCUGUUGAUAGGGACGAAGGGCGAAGGGUUAAUAGCCCCUAGCCUGACGGUACCUUUCGAGGAAGCCCCGGCUAACUACGUGCCAGCAGCCGCGGUAAUACGUAGGGGGCGAGCGUUGUCCGGAAUUAUUGGGCGUAAAGAGCGUGUAGGCGGUUCGGUAAGUCUGCCGUGAAAACCUGGGGCUCAACCCCGGGCGUGCGGUGGAUACUGCCGGGCUAGAGGGUGGUAGAGGCGAGUGGAAUUCCCGGUGUAGCGGUGAAAUGCGCAGAUAUCGGGAGGAACACCAGUAGCGAAGGCGGCUCGCUGGGCCAUUCCUGACGCUGAGACGCGAAAGCUAGGGGAGCGAACAGGAUUAGAUACCCCAGUAGUCC
RNAcentral lists this ribosomal RNA (801 nucleotides) under uncultured Rubrobacter sp. RNAcentral's name for it is "bacterial SSU rRNA". It matches the Rfam family "Bacterial small subunit ribosomal RNA", at positions 8 to 796 of the family's 1533-position model. Lineage: Bacteria; Bacillati; Actinomycetota; Rubrobacteria; Rubrobacterales; Rubrobacteraceae. The record is from RNAcentral.